AGAGUAUUACAUUAGGUACU
This 20-nucleotide microRNA is filed under the name Cochliomyia macellaria (secondary screw-worm). RNAcentral's name for it is "mature cma-miR-12". RNAcentral also lists the same sequence under 1 other name. The record is from RNAcentral. Lineage: Eukaryota; Metazoa; Arthropoda; Insecta; Diptera; Calliphoridae.